Molecule: non-coding RNA, 31 nt
Filed under: Homo sapiens (human)
Lineage: Eukaryota; Metazoa; Chordata; Mammalia; Primates; Hominidae
Source: RNAcentral
UCCUACCUGUUAUUGUAUAACUCCAGCCUGA